CGUAGGGUGCAAGCGUUGUUCGGAAUCAUUGGGCGUAAAGCGCGAGUAGGCGGUUUUCUAAGUCGGAUGUGAAAUCCCUCGGCUCAACCGAGGAAGUGCAUUCGAAACUAGUUAGCUGGAAGAUGGUAGAGGAAGGUGGAAUUCCAAGUGUAGAGGUGAAAUUCGUAGAUAUUUGGAGGAAUACCAGAGGCGAAGGCGGCCUUCUGGACCAUUCUUGACGCUGAGACGCGAAAGCGUGGGUAGCAAACAGGAUUAGAUACCCUGGUAGUCCACGCCGUAAACGAUGGGUACUAGGUGUUGCGGGAAUUGACCCCUGCAGUGCCGACGCUAACGCAUUAAGUACCCCGCCUGGGAAGUACGGCCGCAAGGUUA
Molecule: ribosomal RNA, 372 nt
Filed under: uncultured organism
Description: bacterial SSU rRNA
Rfam family: Bacterial small subunit ribosomal RNA
Source: RNAcentral